ACGGCCGUAUCACGUUGAAGCACUAGUUUCGGUGCGAUUACCGAAGUUAAGCAACGUCAAGCUUGGUCAGUACCUAGAUGGGUGACCGCUUGGGAAUACCAGGUGCUGUAAA
Molecule: non-coding RNA, 112 nt
Organism: Acanthosepion pharaonis
Lineage: Eukaryota; Metazoa; Mollusca; Cephalopoda; Sepiida; Sepiidae
Source: the annotation of a GenBank genome assembly